GACGAACGCUGGCGGCGUGCUUAACACAUGCAAGUCGAACGGCAAGGCCCUGCUUUUGUGGGGUGCUCGAGUGGCGAACGGGUGAGUAACACGUGAGUAACCUGCCCUUGACUUUGGGAUAACUUCAGGAAACUGGGGCUAAUACCGGAUAGGAGCUCCUGCUGCAUGGUGGGGGUUGGAAAGUUUCGGCGGUUGGGGAUGGACUCGCGGCUUAUCAGCUUGUUGGUGGGGUAGUGGCUUACCAAGGCUUUGACGGGUAGCCGGCCUGGGAGGGUGACCGGCGAAAUUGGGACUGAGAUACGGCCCAGACUCGUACGGGAGGCAGCAGUGGGGAAUAUUGCACAAUGGGCGGAAGCCUGAUGCAGCAACGCCGCGUGCGGGAUGACGGCCUUCGGGUUGUAAACCGCUUUCGCCUGUGACGAAGCGUGAGUGACGGUAAUGGGUAAAGAAGCACCGGCUAACUACGUG
RNAcentral lists this ribosomal RNA (468 nucleotides) under uncultured bacterium. RNAcentral's name for it is "partial 16S ribosomal RNA". It matches the Rfam family "Bacterial small subunit ribosomal RNA", at positions 28 to 507 of the family's 1533-position model. The record is from RNAcentral.